This 444-nucleotide ribosomal RNA is filed under the name uncultured bacterium. RNAcentral's name for it is "partial 16S ribosomal RNA". It matches the Rfam family "Bacterial small subunit ribosomal RNA", at positions 339 to 795 of the family's 1533-position model. The record is from RNAcentral.
CUACGGGGCGCAGCAGUGGGGAAUAUUGCACAAUGGGCGCAAGCCUGAUGCAGCAACGCCGCGUGAGGGAUGAAGGCCUUCGGGUUGUAAACCUCUUUUAGCAGGGAAGAAGCGAAAGUGACGGUACCUGCAGAAAAAGCACCGGCUAACUACGUGCCAGCAGCCGCGGUAAUACGUAGGGUGCAAGCGUUGUCCGGAAUCAUUGGGCGUAAAGAGCUCGUAGGCGGUUUGUCACGUCUGCUGUGAAAAUCCAAGGCUCAACCUUGGACUUGCAGUGGGUACGGGCAGGCUAGAGUGCGGUAGGGGGGAUGGGAAUUCCUGGUGUAGCGGUGGAAUGCGCAGAUAUCAGGAGGAACACCAAUGGCGAAGGCACAUCUCUGGGCCGUAACUGACGCUGAGGAGCGAAAGCGUGGGGAGCGAACAGGAUUAGAUACCCCCGUAGUC